UACGUAGGGCGCAAGCGUUAUCCGGAAUUAUUGGGCGUAAAGAGCUCGUAGGCGGUUUGUCGCGUCUGCCGUGAAAGUCCGGGGCUCAACUCCGGAUCUGCGGUGGGUACGGGCAGACUAGAGUGAUGUAGGGGAGACUGGAAUUCCUGGUGUAGCGGUGAAAUGCGCAGAUAUCAGGAGGAACACCGGUGGCGAAGGCGGAUCUCUGGGCCAUUACUGACGCUGAGGAGCGAAAGCGUGGGGAGCGAACAGG
Molecule: ribosomal RNA, 253 nt
Filed under: uncultured bacterium
Lineage: Bacteria
Description: partial 16S ribosomal RNA
Rfam family: Bacterial small subunit ribosomal RNA
Source: RNAcentral